UACGGAGGGUGCAAGCAUUAAUCGGAAUUACUGGGCGUAAAGGGCGCGUAGGCUGUUUGGUAAGUCAUUUGUGAAAUUCCAGAGCUUAACUCUGGAGCUGCAGAUGAAACUACCAAACUGGAGUUAAAGCGGAGAAAACGGAAUUUCCCAUGUAGCGGUGAAAUGCGUGGAUAUGGGAAGGAACACCGGUGGCGAAAGCGGUUUUCUAGCUUUUAACUGACGCUGAGGCGCGAGAGCAAGGGGAGCAAAC
Molecule: ribosomal RNA, 250 nt
Filed under: uncultured bacterium
Lineage: Bacteria
Description: partial 16S ribosomal RNA
Rfam family: Bacterial small subunit ribosomal RNA
Source: RNAcentral